RNA transcript from Mirounga angustirostris (Northern elephant seal), 1240 nucleotides. RefSeq lists it as uncharacterized. The transcript is spliced from 2 exons. The record is from RefSeq and is a predicted model, not a curated record. Lineage: Eukaryota; Metazoa; Chordata; Mammalia; Carnivora; Phocidae.
CUGGGAGCAGGGGGUAGCUGGAGGGAGGGAGCCCCGUCGUUCACCGCUCAGGGCUGGCACCAAGUUGAGAGCAGCCCGGGGGGCGGCCCCAGCUCUGAGGGCGGGGGGCUGCCCCUGACGCUGCCCACUGGGCCUGGGGAGCGGGACACCCUCUGAGCACGGCCUGGCACUGCCUUCUCUCCCCAGGGCUGUGCAGCUUCAGGCAGGGGCUGCACCCUCCGGCCAACCAGCCGCAGCUUUCUGGUGAACAAGGCAGGCAGUGGGCGUGCGGGGCUCAGCGAGGCAGGACUCCCCGGAGCCACCCCUCCCCCAGGGCUCCCCGCACUCACCCGCUCACUCACACAGGCAUGCGCGUGCGUGCACACCACACACGUGUGCACACGUGUGAACGCACGCAGCGGCGGGAAGCGGCGUCCUCAGCGCCGGGCUCGCAGACGUGGGGUUUUAUUAGUGCUACAAAUCAGAUAUCACACAGUUGGGGGCUGACGUGGUUUUUAUAAGAAUUAUUUAGGGCCUGGCCGCCGGUGAAGUCCCAGGGAGAACCUGCUGAGGAACAUCCAGCUGUUUGGGCCUCGGAAUUCCCAACACUUCGUAAAGUGAAGGCCUCACUGGUGGGGUCGGCCGUGCACGUGGCCCAUCUCUGCAGCCUCCACGGAUGUUUAGGGACAAUCCUUCCACCAUGGCCAGGCUGCCCCCAGCUCGCCUGGAACACUCCGGGAAAAGCACCCAGUCCUCCCCUCCUUGGACAACGCAGACACGUGUGUCCCCAAAAUCGCAGACCCAGCGGAGGAAGCAACCCCAGUGUCUGCCACAGAGCAUGGAUUCGCCCACGUGGACACACACAGCACGGAGCAUUACGCGGCCUUCCAAGGCUCAUCCUGCGACGUGCCACAGCAUGGACGAACCUGGGGGCACUGAGCCGACCACUGAGCCGACCACCGAGCCGACCACCAAGCCGACCACGCGCUGACCGCCGCGCCGACCACCGCGCCCGCCUGGGGCAGGCGAGCCCCUGGAGAGACGGAGAGCAGAGCUGUGGCCAGCAGGGGCGGGUGAGGGGGGUGAGGAGGGCUGGCCGCAGGGCACAGGGCUGCUUUCUGGACAACACAAACAUGUUUUGAAAGGGAUCACAGGAUGGAGACAAGGCUCUGCGAAAGUACGGACACCUCACGACAUACUUGCAGUGGGCGGGUGGUGGGGUAUGUGAACUAUGUCUCCAUAAAGCCGUUUGAAGAUAGGA